Paramormyrops kingsleyae is the source of this 932-nucleotide long non-coding RNA. RefSeq lists it as uncharacterized. The record is from RefSeq and is a predicted model, not a curated record. Lineage: Eukaryota; Metazoa; Chordata; Actinopteri; Osteoglossiformes; Mormyridae.
AUCCUCACUUCAUUAAAUAUAGACCUUAGCAUCUCAGUCCUCCUUCACAAGCUGCAUGUGACACUGUGCACUAAAUGGAGACAUUAUCUACCACAUUUAUUCACACCUACUAUUCUACCUGCCUCAGUGUGUCGGCUCUGUAUAAUAACAGUGUAAAACUUUGUGAUAUAUGUUAACCGUAUAUAAUUUUAUGACACAGGCAUCAGCGGAUUUCACACCCUAGUGACCAACUACAAUACAGAUGUUUCGACUAAUCUUCAAGUAAUGUUCAAGGGAAUCACUGAAGCAGGUCGCCUCCAGCACAGACAUGAUCAUUGAGAUACAGCUCCCAGCCCCGGAGGACAUCUACAGCUCACGCUGCCUCAAGAAAGCUUCCAGCAUCUGUAAAGACUCUACACAGCCUCGCCAUUGUUUGCUGGAACCUCUUCCAUCUGGCAUGUGUUAUAAGGCCCCUUACGGCUGCACCACCAGACUGAGGAAUAUCUCCCCAGAGCUAUAAAGGCCAUGAAUCAACUCAUCAAGCUCCCUCCAUAAUCCUCCUGACUGUUUUGCUUCGCACUGUUUUUCAUUUUGCAGCACUAUUUUGCACAUCUGAGCUGUUUGCACUACUUACUACUGCCAGACUUGCACUUCACAUUCCUGGUAACUUUAUAUUGUCUCUAAUGCCAUAUACAGUUUACUAUACUGCUUACACUGUACAUACUGCCUUAAACUGUGGUUAAUAAGUUAAUUAAUUACCAUUUUAAAAUUGUAUUGGUUCUGAUGCUGCUUCUUUAAAAGUAAAAAUUCAUUGUUAUUUUAUCCAAUUUGUUUGAUUUUUAUUUAACUUAUUGUGUUUUAUGUGUAAAAUGGUGAAUCUCAAACUUAAUCUCACUGCAAUGUGCAGUGUCCAUGGUACACAUGUAAUCGCAAUAAAGAUAUUCAUUCAUUCA